This 2131-nucleotide long non-coding RNA is filed under the name Sus scrofa (pig). RNAcentral's name for it is "lncRNA (ENSSSCG00035044168.1)". The record is from RNAcentral. Lineage: Eukaryota; Metazoa; Chordata; Mammalia; Artiodactyla; Suidae.
GUGGCAUUUCAAGUGAGACCUGGACGGUGCGAAGCAGCCAGCUCUGACAAUGCUGAGGUCAGAACAUUCUGGACAGAGAGCACAGCGAGUCCGAAGAGCCUGAGGCCAGAAAACCCAGAAAACAGUGUUGCUCAAGUCACUGGCGAGAGGGAGGUAGGCUGGAGCAUCUUGUCGGCUCAGGAAGGAGUUUGGAAGACGUGAGUGCGCUGGGUCCUAAGCAGGGGAGCGAAACCAUCAGAUGUACUGCUUUCAAAAGAUCGCUCUGGGGCUGAGGGUCAGGGGGGGAUGAGAGCUUCGAGACCCACCGACGGCUCUGGGCAACCAGGCAGUAGGUGGCAGUGGUUUGGGCCAGCGGGUGACCAGUGGCAAUGGAGAAAUCCAAAAAACCUUCUUUGGAGACAAAGCAGAUGGGACUUUCUGGUGGCUCUGAUUUGGAGAGUGAACAAUUUGGUGCCUAUAAGCCUGUUCUUGAGAGGGGCGUGGCUAUGGGUGAGGGGCGUCAAGGGUUCUGGUUUUCCAGGUGAAGCUGGGGCUAUUCACGAGCCUGCUGUGAGUCUUCAUGGAAGGAAGACAAGGAAGCAGCUUGUAGAAGAAACAGAGACCUCCAGAGGCCUGGCAGCAGAGCCACCGGACACCUGGCUUCCCUGUGGAGAGCACGAUCGGUCAGGUGUGCGGCUCUGGCGAGUCCUUCUCAAGGCCCAGACCGGACAGCUGCUCCCAGCCUUCUUCAGGCCCAAGCCCUCUAGGAAUCUGAUGAGACGUGCCUGUUCCAUAGGGAAGCGCACACCUACAGAUCUUCUCUGCAUCCGUUUGGGGGUCUUAGAACCCCUGAAACCCAUCCAUGGACUCCCAGCCAAUGGGCCCCCAGGUCGGUUAGCUGAACUAGGAGGGCCUACAAUGGACUCACCUAGGGGAAAGGUGUUAAGAGAAUUCACGUUGACCAGAGGCCUGGAAUGCAUGCGUGAUGGACACGUGUCAUCACUGACUGCCCAGCAUUUGACCUACCUUCCAAGGAUGAGAUACUUUCUACUUUCAAGGCAUCGGGGAUUUGAUAUGAUAUCUUGCAGUUUGGAAAUCUAUGGACAAAUGGGUAAGUACAUAAAACAUUACAAUAAUAGACAGUGUUCUUGAGCAUUGAAUACUGUUCAGCCAUGAAAAUGGAAAAGAAAUCACAGACUCAAUGCUGGCUUAAUCUUUAAAAAAAAAAAAAAAAAGGGCUCUUGUAUUUUUUUUUUUAUUUUUAAAUGUUAGGUUGAUUUAUAAGAGCAGCUCCAGGCAGUUAACACAGUUUGUGUACAAUGAGGAGUUAUCUAACUCUGAACACACCGAAUGUGGCAACCAGAAGUCUGGCAAUUAAAAGUCGUCGCAGUUAAGAGAAAACCACAGCCCACCUGCCGCAGCCAACACAAAAACAGGCAGAAACAGCAGUGAAAAUAUAGGGACCAACGGUGGGGGUUUUAGCAUAAAAGGAAAAAAAAAAAAAAAACCAACUCCUCAGGAAUUUUAGCAAAGGAAGGGAGUACUUCAUGCUCAAAGAGAAUAGACUCCAGGAUACAAAAUUACAAGUGUGUGGCCUCUCUUCAAGACCCACUUCCCCCAAGAGCAGAGAGGAAGGAGACGGCUGGAGCAAACAAGCCAUUCUGGAAAACAAAGACUUAGAAACCCUACAAAUAUGAUUAAAAUCUAAACUUCUGUUUUGCUUUAAAAACAUUUUUUUUUAAUAUAGCAAAAGACCUGCUUUAGGGACAUGCUGGUGCCACCGGAAAAUAACCCCAAUACCCCCUCGUCAGUAACAUGCUCAAGUGACCAGCCAACUCAGAUUUCCAAACCCCUGUGUGUAUAAGUACAUGUGUAUCUUUUUAAACCAAAGCCCCAGGGAUCAGGGGACAGCUCUUGCUGUCACCUGUUAACCAGCCAGUGUUGCCCCCCUCCCCUCCAAGAAGGGUGGGCUGAGCACAGAGAAGCCCUGAAGCGGUCGUGAGGGAAGAACAGCCCCAAAUAGCUAACUUUUCAUGCACCCCACCGCCACCCCACUUGGCAGGACAUCCUUUUUUAUUUUUUUUAUGGCCACACCCAUGGCAUAUGGAAGUUCCCCGGGCCGGGACUGAAUCCCAAGCCACAGUUGCAGCAA